GCCCGGGCGGCGGCGGCUCUCGGGUUCUCCGUAGGGCCCCGCCUCGGAGCGGGCGGCGGCGGAGGAGGAGACUGAGGAGCAGGAUGGCGGCCUCGGCCCUGUACGCCUGCACCAAGUGUACCCAGCGUUAUCCUUUCGAGGAGCUCUCCCAGGGCCAGCAGCUCUGCAAGGAAAGCGAAGCGACUGGUUUGGGAACAGAAUGCUCUGAUUUGGAGCUCCUCCCAUCCCAUUAAAGCCUGGAUGCUGUCUGAAUGUCGGAUUGCACAUCCUAUUGUAAAAUGUACUUACUGCAGAUCAGAAUUUCAACAAGAGAGCAAAACUAACACAAUUUGUAAGAAGUGUGCUCAAAAUGUGAAGCAAUUUGGGACGCCCAAGCCUUGUCAGUACUGUAACAUAAUUGCAGCAUUUAUUGGUACCAAGUGUCAGCGUUGCACAAAUUCAGAAAAAAAGUAUGGACCACC
Molecule: long non-coding RNA, 461 nt
Filed under: Homo sapiens (human)
Lineage: Eukaryota; Metazoa; Chordata; Mammalia; Primates; Hominidae
Description: HSALNT0180047
Source: RNAcentral